GCUCCCGUAGCUCAGUUGGAUAGAGUGCCAGACUCCGACUCUGGAGGUCGCGCGUUCGAGUCGCGCCGGGUGCGCCA
This 77-nucleotide transfer RNA is filed under the name Clostridiales bacterium. RNAcentral describes it as "tRNA-Arg". It matches the Rfam family "tRNA". Rfam says of the family: Transfer RNA (tRNA) molecules are approximately 80 nucleotides in length. Their secondary structure includes four short double-helical elements and three loops (D, anti-codon, and T loops). The record is from RNAcentral. RNAcentral also lists the same sequence under 3 other names. Lineage: Bacteria; Bacillati; Bacillota; Clostridia; Eubacteriales.